GCCACAGCAACAGUUGUUGUGGUGCCCACUGACUCCAGUCAUGGACAUGGGCCAUGUUUUAUUCCUAGAAGUGUUUCUACAUCUGAGUUUGUCAUUCUUUUUCAAAAAAAAAAGUAUGUUUUUGUUGCUCUUGCUAAAAAUGUAGCUAAAAUUUAGAUUUUUUUUAAAUGGGAUUUUUGGCAGAGAUCAAGUAUAGAAAAGUUAAACAAAACAGAUUUUUUAAAGAGCAUUAUGGGCCUUGAAAUCAAGGUCUUCAGAUGAUUGAAGCUGUUUACAAAAUCAGUGAGAGAUAUCAUAUGUGCAUUUACAGUUCUCUAAGCUGUAUCAUUAAACAAGUGUAAGUUAACUAACCUUCAGUCCACUGUUGUUUGUUUUUAAUCACAGCUGAGGAGCUGUUUAAGAAAACUCUUGGGAAAAGCAAACCAUUUCUUGAAGAGGGGAACAGGGAGUCCAAGAGCUAUCCGGUCUUGAAUAUGUCAGUGUGCCCUGAAUGUGCAGUCACAUUCUGAGAGACAUUCCAUAAGCGGAUAUCUUUUUAUACUACUUGAGGCACAGUGUCUGACAGAGAUUACUGUAUAACCUGAAGUAUCGGUGUAAAAAGCAAGAAUGUAUACAUGGGAUUUCAUCCAGAGCACUCAGCCAAAAGAAAUACUGAACCACUGCUAAAUCAUCCUAAUGAGAUGUGGAACAUCUUCCAGACAGCUUGGCCAGGAACUUUUGAAACAUCUGCUGUUCUCUCUUCUCCCAUCUUCACCUUCCUGUCAUCCAGCCUGUGAUGGGUAUAAUGAUGGGGAAGCAAAAGCGGACCUCUUGCUUCCAGGACUGCAGCCUCUGGAUGAAACAAUGCACAGUCUUGAUAUCAAAAGUCAAGUUUUAUACUCAGAAGACCAUGCCAUUCAGACAUUCUCAGCCUCUUGCAGACAAGUCAAAGGCCACCUACAAAACUUGACAAUUGGCUGUGUGUUAAGACACGUCAUAAAUCUGCUGAGCUUUGAUAUUUGCAGGACAUAA
Long non-coding RNA from Apteryx owenii (little spotted kiwi), 1011 nucleotides. The record is from Ensembl. NCBI's taxonomy places the organism in Eukaryota, Metazoa, Chordata, Aves, Apterygiformes, Apterygidae.